CAGGUCUGUCCUAUUGUCGUGUGAGUGCUGUGUCUCAAUCCACUGGGCCGAGGGUCUGGCCCCAUCUCUGACCACAGUUGUGCAUUUCCUUCACUGAUUGCUUUCCAUUGCUGCAGUUACCUCUGCUCCUUCCAGAGCUCCAGGCUAGACUGUCCUCUUGCCUUGCUCUGCAGUGCUCCCAGUGUUGAACAGAAAUGGGCUUGGGUGGGCUGUGCUAUAAAUACAUCCCAUAGGACAGACCUUCCUCGGGUACUGUGAUCUGUGUGUGAAUUUGACCUGUGUGUGAAUUUGACCUGUGCCUUUCCCAGGACCGGGAAGCACUCGCUUGCUCUGGCUGCUCUGCUGGCGGUCAGGUGAGCAGAGGUGGAGGGUCUCACAUAGCCCUUAGGUUGCUUGCAGUUUGCUGGGUAUCUGCUAAACAUCCCAGAUGAAGGCAGCUGCUUAUUUUCUUUAAUUUUAAUCUAUUUCCCGGAAGUAAUCUUUGGAAACACCAGAAGCUGCUCUCCAUUGACCUGGACAAAGUAGUGUUACCCAACUUUCGCUCAAAUCGCCCUCAAGUGAGACCUUUGUCCCCUGGAGAAAGUGGUGCCUGGGACAUUCCUGGAGGGAUCAUGCCUGGCCGCUACAACCAGGAAGUAGGCCAGACCAUCCCUGUUUUUGCCUUCCUUGGAGCCAUGGUGGCCCUGGCCUUCUUCGUGGUACAGAUCAGUAAGGCCAAGAGCCGGCCGAAGCGGAGG
This 737-nucleotide long non-coding RNA is filed under the name Rattus norvegicus (Norway rat). RNAcentral describes it as "long non-coding RNA NONRATT014764". Lineage: Eukaryota; Metazoa; Chordata; Mammalia; Rodentia; Muridae. The record is from RNAcentral.